This 403-nucleotide ribosomal RNA is filed under the name uncultured bacterium. RNAcentral describes it as "partial 16S ribosomal RNA". It matches the Rfam family "Bacterial small subunit ribosomal RNA", at positions 28 to 526 of the family's 1533-position model. The record is from RNAcentral.
GACGAACGCUGGCGGCGUGCCUAAUACAUGCAAGUCGAACGCAGUGGGGAUGGGUGAGUAACACGUGGGUAACCUCCCAUCAGAGGGGAUAACACUUGGAAACAGGUGCUAAACCGAUACUGAUGGAUGAACCCGCGGGGCAUUAGCUAGUUGGUGAGGUAACGGCUCACCAAGGCCACGAUGCAUAGCCGACCUGAUAGGUGCACCGGCGAAACUGGGACUGAGACACGGCCCAGCCUCCUACGGGAGGCAGCAGUAGGGAAGCUUCGGAAAGGGACGAAAGUAUGACCGAGCAACGCCGCGUGAGUGAAGAAGGUUUUCGGAUCGUAAAACUCUGUUGUUAGAGAAGCGGUAUCUAACCAGAAAGCCACGGCUAACUACGUGCCAGCAGCCGCGGUAAUAC